UUCACACAGGACUUUAACCUGAUUCUCCGACAGCUGUUUGCACUCGUUCAGUUGUUCAAUCCAUCCGUCCAGUUCCUUGGUGAA
Non-coding RNA from Xyrichtys novacula (pearly razorfish), 84 nucleotides. The record is from the annotation of a GenBank genome assembly. Lineage: Eukaryota; Metazoa; Chordata; Actinopteri; Labriformes; Labridae.